AGUGGCUUACAAAUAAAAAGAAAAAUAAAACCACGGAUCUUAGUAGAACUAAUGCAUUCCUCACUGCUUUCACACUCUGAAUAUUCUUUUAUCCCGAUACAAAUUCCUCAAUCAUUUAUGUAGAAAAUAAUUCAAGCAAUUAUAUAUUCUCUUUUUAUAGAUAUUUUUAAAUUUGUCUUUAUAAAAUAUUGUCCAUUUAUUUUAUCUAUUUUUUGGUAAAUUUACAUUAUCGUCGUAAACAUAUUAACAUAAAUGUCUAGAUCAAGCGUAUUU
This is a non-coding RNA of Cinara cedri, 273 nucleotides long. Lineage: Eukaryota; Metazoa; Arthropoda; Insecta; Hemiptera; Aphididae. The record is from the annotation of a GenBank genome assembly.